CCUGGAAGUGUUCAAGGCCAUGUUGGAUUAGGCUCUGAGCAACAUGGUCUAGUGGGAGGUGUUCCUAUUCAUAGGAGGGAUAUGGGAACUAGAUAACUCUUAAGGUCCUUUCCACCCCAAACCAUUCUGUCAUCCUAUGAUUCUAUUAUUCUUUGUGCAUACAGAAAGAUCCAAUGGUUCUGGAAUGCAAAAAGGAAGACAUCACUUUCUCAUUCAACUGUCAAAGCACUGCUCGUUGUGUCCUCAGUUUUAUCUGAUUCUCCAAACUCAAAGAUAAAUUAGUGUAUCUUAAUGGAUAAACAAGACUCACAAGAUUGUUGACAAUACUGGAAGUGGCUGGCUCUAUUUCUGAUAGAAGAGUAAAGGCUGGGACCCUCUCACGGGAUGCUCUUCACCAUGCUGAAUAUUGGUGGCUGCUAUAAUCUGUAUUACUUAGAAGAGCUAUCAAAUCAGGAAAAAAGGAACUACAAAGAAGUUGCAAGCUCCAGACACCACAGCACUCUUUGGGGACAGGAACCUGUGAAUGUCAGCUUGUUUCUUCAGUUCUAGAGAAUUUGAGGCGGGAGUUUCCUGGCAUCAAAAUGUUCGGUCAUAUGUACAACUUGAUGAGAAGGAACUAUGACAGGAAGGAAAGAAAAGGAAGCAAGCUAGCAAGCAAGCAAGCCUGGCCCUAGUCUGCAGCCCAGCCUCUCUUGUCUGGAUGUGAAGAACCCAAGGGUCUCUUUUGCAUAACAAGCAGCUAGUCUUACUGCUUCUUUUCAUGCCUUGUAUAUACAUUAUCACUCGGCAGUGAAAGUGAUGUCAAAGGACAACUUUUGUUUGUCCAGGAAUUUCUAUACCAACAUCUUAAUAUAAGACCAGUAAAUUGCAAAAGAGAAGACAAAUAGAGAAAUUACAGAUGCAUAAAAUAUAAUAGGAAAGGUUUUAAAAAACUGCUUUUGAAUGAGUGGACAAAAUGCUUAACGGUAAGCAGAACAUUUUGCAUUUAUUUCAGGAAUACAUGGCAAUAAAACAUAACACAGACAGAAUGAAAUGCUAACGGUUGUUUUACUCUGUGAAAUUUUCAUCUUAAAGAUCUUGGUAAUAUUUUUGAAAGGAACAUAAAGGAUUUUCCCAAAACUGUGUGCUUGUUGUUUGGUAACCCAACUCUUCCCAGAGACAGUGUUCUGCUUUCAUUUGAUGAUUUAUGACACCUUCUCUGCGCAUGAUUUUGAGUAAAUCACUAGACAGCACUAUGAUAUACUGCAGUGUCAUAUGCCCAAGAGGCAGAGAAGAAAGGAAACUAUGAAAUAUCAG
Molecule: long non-coding RNA, 1296 nt
Organism: Cairina moschata (Muscovy duck)
Lineage: Eukaryota; Metazoa; Chordata; Aves; Anseriformes; Anatidae
Source: Ensembl